CCCUUAGAUGUUCUGGGCCGCACGCGCGCUACACUGAUGCAUUCAUCAAGUGUUCCUUGGCCGGUAGGUCUGGGUAAUCUUUUGAAAGUGCAUCGUGCUGGGGAUAGAUUAUUGCAAUUAUUAAUCUUCAACGAGGAAUUCCUAGUAAACGCAAGUCAUCAACUUGCAUUGAUUACGUCCCUGCCCUUUGUACACACCGCCCGUCGCUACUACCGAUUGAAUGUCUUAGUGAGGCUCCUGGAUUGCGGAAGUCGCCUUGUGCUGACGGCCGCAAGAAGGGAUUCAAACUUGAACAUUUAGAGGAAGUAAAAGUCGUAACA
RNAcentral lists this ribosomal RNA (320 nucleotides) under uncultured eukaryote. RNAcentral describes it as "partial 18S ribosomal RNA". It matches the Rfam family "Eukaryotic small subunit ribosomal RNA", at positions 1470 to 1796 of the family's 1831-position model. The record is from RNAcentral.